Molecule: ribosomal RNA, 906 nt
Filed under: uncultured bacterium
Lineage: Bacteria
Description: bacterial SSU rRNA
Rfam family: Bacterial small subunit ribosomal RNA
Source: RNAcentral
ACGCUGACAGAAUGCUUAACACAUGCAAGUCUUUGGCGAAGCUGUGCUUGCACAGCCUAGCCAAGGCGGACGGGUGAGUAACGCGUAAGGAACUUGCCCUGCAGUCAGGGAUAACAGACGGAAACGACUGAUAAGACCUGGUAAAGUCAGGCGGACUCAUGUCCAGCCUGAUGAAAGGAGAUGCUGCAGGAGAGCCUUGCGUCCUAUUAGCUUGUUGGUGGGGUAACGGCCCACCAAGGCGAUGAUAGGUAGCCGGCCUGAGAGGGUGGACGGCCACAAGGGGACUGAGAUACGGCCCUUACUCCUACGGGAGGCAGCAGUGGGGAAUAUUGGACAAUGGGGGCAACCCUGAUCCAGCAAUUCUGUGUGCACGAUGAAGGUUUUCGGAUUGUAAAGUGCUUUCAGCAGGGAAGAAAAAAAUGACGGUACCUGCAGAAGAAGCGACGGCUAAAUACGUGCCAGCAGCCGCGGUAAUACGUAUGUCGCAAGCGUUAUCCGGAAUUAUUGGGCAUAAAGGGCAUCUAGGCGGCCAGAUAAGUCUGGGGUGAAAACUUGCGGCUCAACCGCAAGCCUGCCCUGGAAACUAUGUGGCUAGAGUACUGGAGAGGUGGACGGAACUGCACGAGUAGAGGUGAAAUUCGUAGAUAUGUGCAGGAAUGCCGAUGAUGAAGAUAGUUCACUGGACGGUAACUGACGCUGAAGUGCGAAAGCUAGGGGAGCAACCAGGAUUAGAUACCCUGGUAGUCCUAGCUGUAAACGAUGAUUACUGGGUGUGGGCAUGAAGAGUGUCCGUGCCGAAGCUAAUGCGAUAAGUAAUCCGCCUGGGGAGUACGGCCGCAAGGCUGAAACUCAAAGGAAUUGACGGGGACCCGCACAAGCGGUGGAGCAUGUGGUUUAAUUCGACGC